AACGAACGCUGGCGGCAUGCCUAACACAUGCAAGUCGAACGAGACCUUCGGGUCUAGUGGCGCACGGGUGCGUAACGCGUGGGAACCUGCCCGUAGGUUCGGAAUAACUCCCCGAAAGGGGUGCUAAUACCGGUUAAUGUCUUCGGACCAAAGAUUUAUCGCCUUUGGAUGGGCCCGCGUUGGAUUAGCUAGUUGGUAGGGUAAAAGCCUACCAAGGCGACGAUCCAUAGCUGGUCUGAGAGGAUGAUCAUCCACACUGGGACUGAGACACGGCCCAGACUCCUACGGGAGGCAGCAGUAGGGAAUAUUGGACAAUGGGCGAAAGCCUGAUCCAGCCAGGCCGCGUGAGUGAUGAAGGCCUUAGGGUUGUAAAGUUCUUUUACCCGGGAUGAUAAUGACAGUACCGGGAGAAUAAGCUCCGGCUAACUCCGUG
RNAcentral lists this ribosomal RNA (433 nucleotides) under uncultured bacterium. RNAcentral describes it as "partial 16S ribosomal RNA". It matches the Rfam family "Bacterial small subunit ribosomal RNA", at positions 29 to 507 of the family's 1533-position model. The record is from RNAcentral.